Molecule: long non-coding RNA, 4181 nt
Organism: Scylla paramamosain (green mud crab)
Lineage: Eukaryota; Metazoa; Arthropoda; Malacostraca; Decapoda; Portunidae
Exons: 5
Source: RefSeq, a predicted model, not a curated record
CUCCUCAGCCAUUCGCCCUGCGCCCGCUGACGUGACGAGUCCCCGGUUGUGUUACGGCGGUGAAGCGGUGUUGCGUCUGUCCCUGGCGGGCAUGUUGUGGUGGACUGCGGUGUGGAGGGAGAGGUGGAUGUGAGUAUGGCCUGGUGGUGGAUAGGGAGGAGUGGAUAGUGGAAGAGAGAUGUGGAGAGUAGGAUGGUGGAAGGGGGAGGUGGAGGUGGCUAUGGCGGACGUGACUGGGUUGAGGUGGUGGUUGUGGUGGUGUUUGGUAUGGUUGGAAUGGUUGUAGAGGGUGUUGGUAGUGGUGGUGAACGUGACUGGCUUAUGUUAAAGGUGGUUGUGGUUGUUGGGGAUGGUGGUGGUUGUGUGACAGUGGUGGGUGCAGCGGACGCAACGGUGUUGUGGUUGUUGGGUGUGGUUGAGGAUUGCGAUGGUGGUGGUGGUGGAGGUGGUAGGUGGCGGUGGUCGUAGUCGGAGCGGGCUAAUUGGUGUUGGUGGUGGUGUAAAAAGGUGUUUAUCGGACGGAGUGGAAGUGGUGGUGGUGGCGGUGAUACGAUUAUCAGGGAUGAGAGAGAGAGAGAGAGAGAGAGAGAGAGAGAGAGAGAGAGUGUGUGUGUGUGUGUGUGUGUACUCCUAUAAUCAGCAAAUUGCAGUCACUCGUUCGCUUGUUUCACCUCCCUGUUUCAGGCCUUCUCUCCCCUUCCCUUCCUCCCCGCUCCCUUCCUAGCCUGCCCGCCACCCUCUCCCCGCUUUUCCCUGCCUGUCCUCCCCUGCUCCUCGUGUCCCAGGUGACCCAUAAACUACCUCUAACAAUGGUGAUGAAGAACCAGAAGUGGGUUGUAGGUGACGAGAUAACUAUCCCAGGUCAUCCCGGAAGUGGCGAGGUGACCCCAUACAGCUCCACAAGGUCGUGGAGGACACCAGACAUAGCCACGUGGUCGCCUACACUCAGCCAUCCACCUCACCUGCCCCAGACUGCUACCCGGACACCAUCCAGCCACAAGAACCCAGAUAAGCAUUUCCGGGGUCCUUGGUUGUGGUUAGCUAGCUAGUUUGUUUAGGGGUCACUUGCUGUACAUAGGAACCCUCCUCGGUCUGAUGCUAUUUUUUUUAUUUUUAUUUUUGAGGUGUAACGCUGUGCUCUACGUGAGAGUGAUAGUGUUUAUCUUUAUUUAUUUAUUUUUUUUCCUGAAGACCAGUUCUGAUGUUAUCUUGGAGGUUAACGGAGAAGAGUUCUUCACACCUGUGUUUGUUGUUUUAUUUUAUUUUUUUAUUGGUCACUUUUUUUUUUCUUUUGUGAUUGUUAUUAAUUUUAUUUAUUUGUAUUGAAAUAUGUGAGUGUGAAUGCAGCACAAUAUAUAAAGGUGUGCAUUCCAGAGUGAAAGGAAGGCGUGCACAGGGUAGAGUGCACAGGAUGCAGUGCCUUGUUUUUAUCACCAGACCUUGAUUGACUGAAGCAAAUGAAAACUUUGGUGUGAGUACCUUACAAAGACACUUGACAAUACUAAUGUCACCUCACCUCGUGGUUUCACCUUAAACCUACAAACAUUGGCUGGACACAAGGUCAUAGAAAUAAUUUAUUCUCAUUUAUUCUCAUCUUUACAAAUUACAGUCUUUACACAUCAAAGUAACUAAUCACCUUUAUUCAUCCACUUGAGGGGGUUGAAGGAUCGCUAAUCCCAUAUUAAAUUGCCUGUGUUCAACUCGCCUCUCCUACCUCAUUUAUUGACCAAUUCAUUUAAAAAAUAUUUUGAUCAGGAAGGUUGCAAGAAGAAUGUCUGCUAUCUUUUUUUUUUUUGUACGAUAAGUUUUUUUUUUUCCAAUGAAAAAGUAAAAAAAAAACUGUGUCAAAUAUUUACUUUCAAAUAUUUGUCAGAAAUCAAAAUCAGUUACAAACAAAAAUGACGACAGCAGACUUUGUUCGCCUCUCACAGCUGGAUAAGCCGCAAUGGCCCAUCUGUGUGUAACACCAAUAACAACGGAGAUCAUUUUUAUAUGCAAAAAUCCGCCAUUUUAAGUUAUGUCAAAGUUUAAGGGAUGACUAUAAUACACCUAUUGCAGCUAAGGACUUGAAAUUCACAUGAUAUAUACAUCACAAUAUGUUGAAAAACAGAUAUAGAUUAAUUUAGUUACUCCGAUUGGUUUUGUACAUAGGCCUAAAGUAAUUCAUGAUUUCACCCUUAAUUACCCGGGGGGGAGGGGGGAAGGCGGGUGAAAACAAUUUUUGUUAUAUUUCGACUUUUAGAUCAAAACCAGUGUUUAACUGUUUGAAAUAAAUAAAAUAUUAAUGCAAAAGAUAUCUAAUGGAGACACAUUGACUAUUUCCUAGAUUUACGGAAAAAUAUUUAUCUUAUUUUUCGUAUAUAAAUUUGAAAAAAAUAGUUAGACCUAAAAUUACGUACUCUCUAAUGUUGUACGCAGCAAAAGAACCGUAGAUAUUCAUAGGAGACUGAGGAAGAACGGGUACGCCAGAGAGAAAAAAAAAAAAAAAGUCAUGUCUCGCAGCGGGCGAAACCGUGAAAUUUCAUAACAGAAGACCUCAUUACAUAAGGGGAUAUAUAUAUAUAUAUAUAUAUAUAUAUAUAUAUAUAUAUAUAUAUAUAUAUAUAUAUAUAUAUAUAUAUAUAUAUAUAUAUAUAUAUAUAUAUAUAUAUAUAUAUAUAUCAAAACAUUACAUAUAUAAAAAAUGGGAAAAAAAUGUAGAAAAUAAAAAAAAUAAAAAAAAAAUUCAUAUCCGGAUCGUACAACGACACCCUUGAUGCAAAACAUGUUUGCGCGCCUGACGAUGUUAAGACACACGACACACACUUCCCUUGAGAAAAGAUGGUAGCCUUCACGAGUGUCUUACUAUUUCUUUGCAGAGCCCCUCUUCUUGAUGACGACGCGUACACUGUCAGCUACACUUUGCAGUGUCUCACUUAAAUUUUUCUCUAUCUUUGUAUCUCUCCAUUUCAGAUAAAUUGUUAUCUUUCCAAGGGUUGAGGAGAACAUGGUCGUGGUUCAAGAGAAGCCACUACAGCCACUCCCUGACAAGCCUUCCACACCGACAGUGGCAGCAGACACACAAGAGAGGAUGGUGUGGUGGACAAGAGGAUGCAGGGAGACAGCAGACAGAAUGGAAGCUACAGAUGAAAGAAGAGCAGGUCAAGCCAUGGCAGCAGACACAUAGACAGACAGAUUGGAUAAGAAAGAAGUAUUAUUUAGUGAGAUAUGUACACACACUAGCAACAGUUUUCACCUGUAGCACCAGAAACAGUCUUCCUCACACGAACCGUUUCACUGCCGGGACUUGAAGGCUGAUGAAGCAGUGCGGCGGAGGUCACGCCUCUCAGAGUGUUUAUACUUGUUGUCAACACCGCCAUAACUAAUACAAACUCUUUAGUGCAGGUAGUUAAAUAACUGCAAUCAUUGUUCCAGAUUCCUAAAUUCACAAAGUGCAUAACUCAUUCCAAGUUUUUAUUGCAGAUAAUUAAAGUUUUAGUGAAAUAAUUAUUCCUAUUCCUAAUGUUGUGUGGUGCAUUAUCUCAGACAGGCCCACUGGAAGCUGUCAGAGUGCUGUGGCACGUGGCAAGAACCAAGUGUUCAGGAGCACACACUGUCCCUUCACCAGUCAGCAGAUCUGGGCGGCUUGGAAGCCUCACUACAAACUGAAGACCCGUUCACUUGAAGGACACAGUUGGAGUCGGACACAAGAUCCAAGAGGGAGUUAUUUUUAAACGAGAGCUUCAGGCAAAAAAUUCGAGUGGAUUUUCAACUCUAAAAAUAACUUUUUUUGGGGGGAUAUUUUGAAGCUUCUUUAUCUUGAAAAAUAACUCCAGAUAUUAUGACUCUAGCUGGAAGUUGACCUGAGCAAUGUAGGGUUUGCUGCAGUGAGAUUACCAAGGCACGAGUGUCUGGGAUUUAAAGAUGAUGGAUAUGUGUCCUGUGUGCUGCUGUGCUGGGAGGAGAGGAGCAGCAGCAGUCGUGGGGCUCUGCUCCCGCUGUCACUGGUGCAACUGUUCACUCCUGCAGCUACCUUCCCUCAACAUACUGUGUCUUCCCACACAUGCAAUGAACAACUAUGAACAAUACUUCUCCUGCGAUGAGGAACAGUGAAUAACAACACCUCUCUCUCUCUCUCUCUCUCUCUCUCUCUCUCUCUCUCUCUCUCUCUCUCUCUCUCUCUCUCUCUCUCUCUCUCUCUC